AAACCGAUGAGAGGGAGGAAGGAACAGCGGGGCAAGCAAUGGCAACACAGAGCCAGUCACAGCCUGUGGACUAAAAGCCUCAGAGAGGAGGGACACUGCAGCUCAGGUAGCCGCUUGCCUCAUCCGGGGGGUGCGGGUAACCGGGUUCCACCUCACCACCCCUCCUCAGGGUCACCGACACGAAGGGUCCUGCAGCACCAGGGAGCUCCCCCACCCUCACGGAGGUUCUGUGCCUCUUCAGGUGGGCACAUUCUCACGACUGCCCUGAGCCCUGCGUUGGAGAAAGGACACGACCCCAAAGUGGAACAGUCUCCUCAGGAGGAAUUGAGCACCGACGAUCCACAGUGAGAAGGGACAGCAUUUAAUGGAACUAUGGUCUCUGCACAAAACCAACUGUGAGGCUGUUGAUGCCCAGGUUCCACUCAGUGCUCAAGAACAGGGGAGCUCUGCGGCCCAGGGUGUGGAUACUGUGCCGUGGCUGGUUUCUCCAUGUCUGUGAAGGCGGCCGCACCCUCCUUCCCUAAACCACAGGCUGGGGCCUCUUGAGUGGGUCCCUUGACAGAAGGCCUCAGGUUGUGAUUCCUGUCAUCAAAGUCCUGGGCAAGGCCAGGCCCCAUGGGCGCCGAAUAGAGGUGAUUCCCACCUGGGAGAUGGAGGGUCUUCUGGGAAGCUGAGCAAGCCUGGGGGAACGGAGCCCUCCAAAGCAGCAGUGUGAAAUCAGAAACCAGUUCCCACACACUUGCCUCUUGUUAGAACAUCCUCCUCACUGGCUGAAGAGAAACUAAGAGAACUCCUGGAAGAGCUGGCUCAGAGAUUUAAAUAGGCCAGGCCAGACCAGACGCACGGCCAGAAUCGCCUUAGAGAAGACAAGACGGUGUGGACUAGGGGCCAGUGAGCAGACUCGAAAGAUGCCACUGUAGCAAUAAGGAACCUCCAUGGGAUGGGAACUUUUACCUUAAAAUAAAUAUGACUGGGGCUGGGAAC
This 984-nucleotide long non-coding RNA is filed under the name Equus asinus (donkey). RNAcentral describes it as "lncRNA (ENSEASG00005035052.1)". The record is from RNAcentral. Lineage: Eukaryota; Metazoa; Chordata; Mammalia; Perissodactyla; Equidae.